CUCUCUCUCUCUCUCUCUCAUUUGCUGUGGGGAAAGCCAGCUGCCAUGUCCUGAGCUAAAGCCAGCAGCCUGUGGAGAGGUCCACGGGAGGAGGAACCAAGGCCUUUGGCAGCAGCCCCCCAAGUGAGCUGGGAAGCAAAUCCUCCAGCUGCAGGCAGAGGUGCCAGUGACCACCGCUCCGCCGGGCGGACAGCCUGCCUGCCCCCUCAGGACACAUGCUGGGCCACAGCCCCCCCACCCCGCCCCCGGCUCAGGUCUUCUUGGAUUCCUGACUGCCAGAAACUGUGUGAGAUGACAAGUCCUCAUUGGAGCCUGCUUAGUUUGGGAGUAACUUAGGAGCAAUAAAUUAAUACAGUCCAUCCCUGAAGCCAUCUGGGAGGGUGUUGGCAACAUCCUCAGAGGGGGUCUGGGCCCCCAGCCCUGCUUCCACCAUCGGUGACAGUGGAGUGCUGGAGCUGGCUCAUGCUGGCUUGGGAGCGCUGACUGUUAACACUUUCCGGAAUUCCAUGAGCCAGCCAACUGUCAAACACGGACCAGAACAGCAGUUCCCUUAGUUAUCUCCAUCCCUCUGUUGCUUCAAAAGUUAUGAUGAAGAGUGGCAUUGCUGGCUCACAGAGAACACGUCUACUGACUUGACAACGUGGCCACGUUGCUCAUCAGAGUAGCUGUGAGCUCAACAUCAAGAAUGUUCACAGCACGUUUAUUCAUAGUAUUUCCCCCACUGGAAACAGUUCAAGUGCCAAUCAGCAGGAGACUGGAGAAACAAAUGAUGGUAUAUCCACGUGCUGCAAUACUCCUUACAAGAAGAAGGAACAGACUACCGCUGCAUGUAACAACAUGGAUACAUCUCACAGAUACCGUGUUGAAUGAAAGAAGCCACGUGCUUAUGUGAAGUUCUAGACCAGGCAGAAUGAAUAAAGUGGAGGAGAAAUGAUGGAACCUUUGGGUGGUAGUUACCAGAGUAUGUAGGUAGGUAAAAAAAAUCCUCGAGCUAUACGCUUAAGAUUUGCGCAGUCAGUGCAGUCUACUGUAUGUGUGUUAUCCCUCGGUUCAAAAAAAUGUAGAAAAUGAAGCACGAACCAAAGUGGCUGAACCAGUUUACACUCUUACUGGCAGUGACCCUGCCAUUGAAUAGCGAGAUUUCCUUUUGUCUAUCUGAGAUGGGUGAAAUGGUACCCUACUGUGGUUUCACUGGCAUUUCCUGUUUAGUGGUGAGGUAGGCAUCUAGUGAUAUGUUUGUUGGCUAUUUGGGUUUCCACCCAUCUUUAGCCCAUUUUUCUAUGGGAUUGUCUUUUUUCCCUUAUUGUAAAAGUUCUAUAUUCUGGAAACUAGUCCUUUGUAGAUCACAUAUUCCAAAUACUGUUUUCCAGUCUAUGGCUUGUCUUUUCAGGUUUUAAAUAUCCAAGUUUUUAAUUCCAAUGUGGUCAAAUUUAUUGAUUUUAAUUUAUA
Molecule: long non-coding RNA, 1449 nt
Organism: Rhinolophus ferrumequinum (greater horseshoe bat)
Lineage: Eukaryota; Metazoa; Chordata; Mammalia; Chiroptera; Rhinolophidae
Exons: 3
Source: RefSeq, a predicted model, not a curated record